Molecule: unclassified non-coding RNA, 2810 nt
Filed under: Hevea brasiliensis (rubber tree)
Lineage: Eukaryota; Viridiplantae; Streptophyta; Magnoliopsida; Malpighiales; Euphorbiaceae
Source: RNAcentral
GGCCACUAUUCGCACACACUUCACACUCUCCGCUUUUGAUUGCCAUUGAACAGAGAGAGAGAGAUCUGAAAUAAAGGAUUCACUUGGCAUAUUUAGAAGUAGGGUUUUCGCAUUUUCUACAGAGGUGCUGAGGAAAAGAAGGGAAGAGCUGAAAAGAGGAUUUUCACUACUCACCAUGAACAUCUUCAAGAAGAAAACCUCUCCUAAAGAUGCUCUGAGGGUUAGCAAGAGAGAAAUGGCUGUUGCCACCAGAGGAAUUGAACGCGAAAUUGCAUCUCUUCAAUUAGAGGUAUGUUAUUGUUGCAGUUAUGUUUUGGAGAGAUCUAAUUACUUAGUAAUUCUCGUAAUUUUCCUCCCAUAUGCAAUUCAGGAAAAGAAGUUAGUGGCAGAGAUCAAGCAAACAGCUAAAACAGGAAAUGAGGCAAGUUUAUUUUCUCAUGAACAUUAAGCGUGAUGGAUAUGAACUGUAACCUAAUGGAAAUUAUGAUUUAGGGGAGGAUCUUUUAUUAUUGUCUUGUUAGUUACUGUCAAUCUUGAGCUACCAUUCAUCAUUUUCAGUUGGAAUUACUUUUUUGUAUUCAAGUUAAGUGUUAAUUGGAAGUCCAGCUAUGUAAGGUACUGUAAGGUAUUUAACUUACAUUGUUCAGUAACAAGACUUAUUUGUACUAGGAACAUAAGAAGCUAGAUGUAAGUCUUAUUUCUUAAGGAAUUCCUGCAAAUUCAGGUUAAUUGGUAUAUAUAGCAUCUUACUUUAACUUUGCUGAGAACCUUACUGUGUUCUGACAUUAUUUUGUUACAUGCUAUGAUUAAUUUUUUAAAUGGGUAUUCAUGAGGACAAUUUUUCUUGCACCAUGGGAUUGGGAAGUGAAACAUUUAACUCUUGUCCUUGCAAUUUUAAUUGUCACUGGAGCUAAGACAAUAAAAGGGUGACCUAGGGCAUGAAGCAUCUCACAAUUGUGGGAUCAGGGGAGGGUUGAUGUAUACAGCCUUACUCCUACUUUGUAAAGAGGCUAUAUUUAUGCGGCACGAACUCGUGACUCUAAAUCACAAAUAGAGUAACUUCACACCAAGGCCACCCUCCAACUGUAACUAAGACAAUGGCGUUAUGUAAAUAAACUGCAAUUAUGGUGGAGGUUAAAAUAUAUAUCCUGUACUGUCUGUGCAAAAGCAUUCAUCUAUGAGUCUUAUGAUAUGUAUAAACUUAAACUACUCAUCGAAAGAAACAAGUAAAUAGAGCUAAGCUAAAUAGAAACAUAAUUGAAAGUUUAAUAAUUUUGUUGAAACCUUUUGAACCAAGUUCAUCUGACAUCAAGCAUUAUGAUAACACAUUAAACUUUUUUGCAUCUGCACUGGUUGUUUUCUAAUGAACUAAAGGGAAUACUUAAUAUCACAUAUAACCACAGAUUUAUUGGAAUAUAUUGGUUUGUUAUAAAAUCUAGACAAUCCUGCAAAAAAUAUUGAUGGAGUGUAAACUGAAGUCAAUGUAUUAAUGUUUGCAUAUUUUAUUGGAAAUAUCUGUGUAAUGCUUUUUAAGUGACUUAGUUUUCCAAAAGUCUUAGCUUGGUUAUGAAUUAGUCAACGAAUGCUCAAAACAGCUUCGUCAUCUUUAAUUGAAAUACUUUCGUGCAUGCAUUUUCAUAGGCUGCUACUAGAAUCUUAGCACGUCAACUAGUUCGGCUGCGGCAACAAAUAACAAACUUGCAGGGAAGCCGUGCCCAAAUUAGAGGUGUAGCUACUCACACACAGGCACUAUAUGCCAGCACUUCAAUUUCUACUGGAAUGAAAGGCGCAACUAAGGCUAUGGUGGCAAUGAAUAAGCAAAUGGCUCCUGCAAAACAAGCUAAAGUAAUAAAAGAAUUUCAGAAGCAGUCAGCACAAAUGGACAUGACGAUUGAGAUGAUGUCAGAGUCUAUUGAUGAAACUUUAGACAAAGAUGAGGCGGAAGAAGAAACAGAGGAGCUUACUAAUCAGGUGCUUGAUGAGAUUGGUGUGGACAUUGCAUCUCAGUUAUCUUCAGCUCCAAAGGGUCGGAUUGCAUCAAGGAAUACUUCUAAUGUUGUUAAAAGUGCUGAAUCUCCUGAUGUUGAGGAUCUUGAAAAAAGGUUGGCAUCCCUUCGACGCAUCUAAGCUAGAAAACUAUGAUGUUCUCAGACUCAGACAUGUUCUCAGACUCAGACCUGUUCCAUGUAAAUUUUCUUCUAAAAAUUGUGUUAGUAAGAUUGCUAUCGUUAUAUAUGUCUAUUUAUUUCUUAAAAACUGUAAUAGCGAUAUAUCACGCCCUUGGAGUUGAAGUUUCAGUGGCAUUGUGUCCUUGAAAUAAUCUCUGCAGACUUCACCAAAUUACUUAAAUAGAGCUGAUUUUAUUUUCCCCCGUUUUGUAAUGAAGUAUGUGGGAUUGGAGAAUUUUAGAAUACAAUUAUUGUAUGUAUAACAGUUUUGUUAAUCCACCAAUUUGGUAAGUUGAAAAAUGAAGGUUUUUAAAAUCCUCCAAAACCCCUUCCUCUCCUCGCUGGAGGAAACCUGACUCAGCUAAGCUUAAAUGUCAUGUUGAUGGAGCCUGUUUCAGGGAAGAGCGUAUGUCGGGUUUUGGUGUCGUUUGGCGUUUAGAUGAGGGAGGUUUUGUGUCAGCUUUUUCUGGGAUUUAUCAAGGACUACAGUCGGCAAGGAUGGUGCUGUGCUUAGCUGGUUACUCGAUCAUUAUCCCACCAAUGUUAGAGACAAAAACUGAUUCGCUUGAAGUUGUCCAAGCUGCUCGUUUUAUGUAGAGUUGUUCAUGGAUCGGUUUGGGUGGAUUCAAUGUGUUUUGCCAA